UCCGUAGGUGAACCUGCGGAGGGAUCAUUACUGAGUUACCGCUCUAUAACCCUUUGUGAACAUACCUAACCGUUGCUUCGGCGGGCAGGGGAAGCCUCUCGCGGGCCUCCCCUCCCGGCGCCGGCCCCACCACGGGGACGGGGCGCCCGCCGGAGGAAACCAAACUCUAUUUACACGACGUCUCUUCUGAGUGGCACAAGCAAAUAAUUAAAACUUUUAACAACGGAUCUCUUGGUUCUGGCAUCGAUGAAGAACGCAGCGAAAUGCGAUAAGUAAUGUGAAUUGCAGAAUUCAGUGAAUCAUCGAAUCUUUGAACGCACAUUGCGCUCGCCAGCAUUCUGGCGAGCAUGCCUGUUCGAGCGUCAUUUCAACCCUCAAGCACCGCUUGGUUUUGGGGCCCCACGGCACACGUGGGCCCUUAAAGGUAGUGGCGGACCCUCCCGGAGCCUCCUUUGCGUAGUAACUAACGUCUCGCACUGGGAUUCGGAGGGACUCUUGCCGUAAAACCCCCCAAUUUUUUACAGGUUGACCUCGGAUCAGGUAGGAAUACCCGCUGAACUUAAGCAUAUCAAUAAGCGGAGGA
Molecule: ribosomal RNA, 583 nt
Filed under: Colletotrichum acutatum
Lineage: Eukaryota; Fungi; Ascomycota; Sordariomycetes; Glomerellales; Glomerellaceae
Description: eukaryotic LSU rRNA
Rfam family: 5.8S ribosomal RNA (bases 212-365)
Source: RNAcentral